GCCUCGGUAGCUCAGACCGGUCAGAGCGCUGAACUAUCGCUCAGUUGCCUUGUAAGCAAGAUGUCGAGGGUUCAAAUCCCUCCCGAGGCU
RNAcentral lists this transfer RNA (90 nucleotides) under Nitrososphaerota archaeon. Its description in RNAcentral is "Thaumarchaeota archaeon tRNA-Thr". It matches the Rfam family "tRNA". Rfam says of the family: Transfer RNA (tRNA) molecules are approximately 80 nucleotides in length. Their secondary structure includes four short double-helical elements and three loops (D, anti-codon, and T loops). RNAcentral also lists the same sequence under 3 other names. The record is from RNAcentral. Lineage: Archaea; Thermoproteati; Nitrososphaerota.